ACUUUUACUUUGAAAAAAUUAGAGUGUUCAAAGCAGGCCUUUGCUCGAAUACAUUAGCAUGGAAUAAUAGAAUAGGACGUGUGGUUCUAUUUUGUUGGUUUCUAGGACCGCCGUAAUGAUUAAUAGGGAUAGUCGGGGGCAUCAGUAUUCAAUCGUCAGAGGUGAAAUUCUUGGAUUGAUUGAAGACUAACUACUGCGAAAGCAUUUGCCAAGG
RNAcentral lists this ribosomal RNA (214 nucleotides) under Tryblionella compressa. Its description in RNAcentral is "partial Eukaryotic small subunit ribosomal RNA". It matches the Rfam family "Eukaryotic small subunit ribosomal RNA", at positions 748 to 963 of the family's 1831-position model. Lineage: Eukaryota; Bacillariophyta; Bacillariophyceae; Bacillariales; Bacillariaceae. The record is from RNAcentral.